CCUACGGGAGACAGCAGUGGGGGAUAUUGCACAAUGGGGGGAACCCUGAUGCAGCGACGCCGCGUGGGUGAAGAAGGGCCUCUGCGUGUAAAGCCCUUUCAGCAGGGAAGAAAAUGACGGUACCUGAAGACGACUCCCCGGCUACCUACGAGCCACAUGCCGCGGUCAUACGUAGGGGGCAGGCGUAAGCCGGAUUCACUGGGUGUAAAGGGGGCGUAGACGGCGAUGCAAGUGAGUAGUGAAAGCCCGGGGUCUAACCCCGGGACUGCUUUUGGAACUGCGUGGCUGGAGUGCAGGAGAGGUAAGCGGAAUUCCUGGUGUAGCGGUGAAAUGCGUAGAUAUCAGGAGGAACACCGGUGGCGAAGGCGGCCUACUUGACUGCAACUGACGUUGAGGCACGAAAGCGUGGGGAGCGAACAGGAUUAGAUACCCCGGUAGUC
Molecule: ribosomal RNA, 440 nt
Filed under: uncultured bacterium
Lineage: Bacteria
Description: partial 16S ribosomal RNA
Rfam family: Bacterial small subunit ribosomal RNA
Source: RNAcentral